This 509-nucleotide ribosomal RNA is filed under the name uncultured bacterium. Its description in RNAcentral is "bacterial SSU rRNA". It matches the Rfam family "Bacterial small subunit ribosomal RNA", at positions 28 to 496 of the family's 1533-position model. The record is from RNAcentral.
GACGAACGCUGGCGGCGUGCCUAAUACAUGCAAGUCGAACGCACUCUCGUUUAGAUUGAAGGAGCUUGCUCCUGAUUGAUAAACAUUUGAGUGAGUGGCGGACGGGUGAGUAACACGUGGGUAACCUGCCCUAAAGUGGGGGAUAACAUUUGGAAACAGAUGCUAAUACCGCAUAAAACCUAACACCGCAUGGUGUAGGGUUGAAAGAUGGUUUCGGCUAUCACUUUAGGAUGGACCCGCGGUGCAUUAGUUAGUUGGUGAGGUAAAGGCUCACCAAGACCGUGAUGCAUAGCCGACCUGAGAGGGUAAUCGGCCACACUGGGACUGAGACACGGCCCAGACUCCUACGGGAGGCAGCAGUAGGGAAUCUUCCACAAUGGACGAAAGUCUGAUGGAGCAACGCCGCGUGAGUGAAGAAGGUUUUCGGAUCGUAAAACUCUGUUGUUGGAGAAGAAUGUAUCUGAUAGUAACUGAUCAGGUAGUGACGGUAUCCAACCAGAAAGCCACGG